GCGUGCUAGGUGGGGCGGCUAGGGGCGUCCUGUACCCGAAGUCCUCUUCAUGCGGGGCCGAAUGCCCGCCUGAGGGUGGUAUUGAGCAAGGUCUAGCGCCAGGCACGCGGUGUUGACAGAUUGGGUCCCACGCGGCGUGACCCCGUGAAGCGGGUCAGAUCCGGAAGGAAGCAGCCCUAAGCGGAAAGUUGCGGGUGACGUGGGACAGCCCAAUCCGAGCUGGCGACCUGGUUGCGCUUGCCCCUUCCCACUCGAAGGCGGGCUGCACAU
This 270-nucleotide signal recognition particle RNA is filed under the name Acidimicrobiia bacterium. RNAcentral describes it as "signal recognition particle sRNA large type". It matches the Rfam family "Bacterial large signal recognition particle RNA". From Rfam's summary of the family: The signal recognition particle (SRP) is a universally conserved ribonucleoprotein involved in the co-translational targeting of proteins to membranes. Archaeal SRP consists of a 7S RNA and homologues of the eukaryotic SRP19 and SRP54 proteins. Lineage: Bacteria; Bacillati; Actinomycetota; Acidimicrobiia. The record is from RNAcentral.